ACAAGGUUUGUAAUAUGACAUCAUUUUCACUAGAAUCAUUAUUGACUCUUUUCUGCCCUCUAAGCUACUCAAAGACUGUUUUUCACCUCACUGAUUCCUCCCUCAACCCACCUCACACAGGCAGAUUAAAGGAAAGGAGAACAAGAUGUAAAAGGACCUGAACAAAGCAGUGACAUCAGAGCUGAUGGAGUUUUUAAUGCUACACAUUGGAAGUACUCCAUGUGCAGAAAUCGAUUAAGUUGUUGAAAUGAAAGGCUUUGAAUAAGACUUUGCAAUGCCAGAGGAUCACAUAUUGAAAGUUGGAAGGUCCUCUUACAGAUUCAACCACCUACUUUUUCAAGGCAAAAUAUAUAAUUUCUCUUCAACUGGCCCUCCUUUGGCAUGGUCGCAAAUCCAUGAAUGGCGGGGGAAAAAUUACGAACAAUAAAAAUUAAAGAAAAAUGAAGGAAAAAUAAUUGUAUUUGAGAAGAAAUUACUACAGGUCAAAGAAUAAUCAAGAAACACUAUAUUUCAAAAAACAGUUGAGUGUUAGCAAAGUGUAAUAAAGAGUAAACUGAGAGAAA
Monodelphis domestica (gray short-tailed opossum) is the source of this 563-nucleotide long non-coding RNA. RefSeq lists it as uncharacterized. Lineage: Eukaryota; Metazoa; Chordata; Mammalia; Didelphimorphia; Didelphidae. The record is from RefSeq and is a predicted model, not a curated record.